Molecule: non-coding RNA, 122 nt
Filed under: Photobacterium gaetbulicola Gung47
Lineage: Bacteria; Pseudomonadati; Pseudomonadota; Gammaproteobacteria; Vibrionales; Vibrionaceae
Also listed under: 1 other name
Description: Photobacterium sp. Gung47 TPP riboswitch aptamer (THI element)
Rfam family: TPP riboswitch aptamer (THI element)
About the family: Vitamin B(1) in its active form thiamin pyrophosphate (TPP) is an essential coenzyme that is synthesised by coupling of pyrimidine and thiazole moieties in bacteria. The previously detected thiamin-regulatory element, thi box was extended, resulting in a new, highly conserved RNA secondary structure, the THI element, which is widely distributed in eubacteria and also occurs in some archaea.
Source: Rfam by way of RNAcentral
GCGUUCUCAUUGGGGAGCGCUUGCCUGGUAAAUGCCAUGAGCAAGCUGCUGAGAUUGCUGCGGCAAGACCCACAGAACCUGAUCCAGUUAGUACUGGCGUAGGAAUUGAGUUCGAUACGGUA